Molecule: long non-coding RNA, 1672 nt
Organism: Oncorhynchus mykiss (rainbow trout)
Lineage: Eukaryota; Metazoa; Chordata; Actinopteri; Salmoniformes; Salmonidae
Source: Ensembl
GGAGACCACAGAGAGGAGCAGGGGGGAGUCAGGAGACCACAGAGAGGAGCAGGGGGAAGUCUGGAGACCACAGAGAGGAGCAGGGGGGAGUCAGGAGACCACAGAGAGGAGAAGGGGGGAGUCUGGAGACCACAGAGAGGAGCAGGGGGGAGUCAGGAGACCACAGAGAGGAGCAGGGGGGAGUCAGGAGACCACAGAGAGGAGCAGGGGGGAGUCAGGAGACCACAGAGAGGAGCAGGGGGGAGUCUGGAGACCACAGAGAGGAGCAGGGGGAGUCUGGAGACCACAGAGAGGAGCAGGGGGGAGUCUGGAGACCACAGAGAGGAGCAGGGGGGAGUCUGGAGACCACAGAGAGGAGCAGGGGGGAGUCUGGAGACCACAGAGAGGAGCAGGGGGGAGUCUGGAGACCACAGAGAGGAGCAGGGGGGAGUCUGGAGACCACAGAGAGGAGCAGGGGGGAGUCUGGAGACCACAGAGAGGAGCAGGGGGGAGUCAGGAGACCACAGAGAGGAGCAGGGGGGAGUCUGGAGACCACAGAGAGGAGCAGGGGGAAGUCUGGAGACCACAGAGAGGAGCAGGGGGGAGUCUGGAGACCACAGAGAGGAGCAGGGGGGAGUCUGGAGACCACAGAGAAGAGCAGGGGGGAGUCUGGAGACCACAGAGAGGAGCAGGGGGGAAGUCUGGAGACCACAGAGAGGAGCAGGGGGGAGUCUGGAGACCACAGAGAGGAGCAGGGGGAAGUCUGGAGACCACAGAGAGGAGCAGGGGGAAGUCAGGAGACCACAGAGAGGAGCAGGGGGGAGUCUGGAGACCACAGAGAGGAGCAGGGGGGAGUCAGGAGACCACAGAGAGGAGCAGGGGGGAGUCAGGAGACCACAGAGAGGAGCAGGGGGGAGUCAGGAGACCACAGAGAGGAGCAGGGGGGAGUCAGGAGACCAUAGAGAGGAGCAGGGGGAGUCAGGAGACCACAGAGAGGAGCAGGGGGGAGUCAGGAGACCACAGAGAGGAGCAGGGGGAAGUCUGGAGACCACAGAGAGGAGCAGGGGGGAGUCAGGAGACCACAGAGAGGAGAAGGGGGGAGUCUGGAGACCACAGAGAGGAGCAGGGGGGAGUCAGGAGACCACAGAGAGGAGCAGGGGGGAGUCAGGAGACCACAGAGAGGAGCAGGGGGGAGUCAGGAGACCACAGAGAGGAGCAGGGGGGAGUCUGGAGACCACAGAGAGGAGCAGGGGGGAGUCAGGAGACCACAGAGAGGAGUAGGGGGGAGUCUGGAGACCACAGAGAGGAGCAGGGGGGAGUCUGGAGACCACAGAGAGGAACAGGGGGGAGUCUGGAGACCACAGAGAGGAGCAGGGGGGAGUCUGGAGACCACAGAGAGGGGCAGGGGGGAGUCUGGAGACCACAGAGAGGAGCAGGGGGGAGUCUGGAGACCACAGAGAGGAGCAGGGGGAGUCUGGAGACCACAGAGAGGAGCAGGGGGGAGUCUGGAGACCACAGAGAGGAGCAGGGGGGAGUCUGGAGACCACAGAGAGGAGCAGGGGGAAGUCAGGAGACCACAGAGAGGAACAGGGGGGGGGGGGGGGGGGGUCGGGGGUGGUACUCUGGUUUUAGGGGUGGUGGUGGGGGGGGGGGGGGUCUCCCUCUAGUUCCAGACAGACUGGGUCCAUACUGA